This 377-nucleotide ribosomal RNA is filed under the name Ingerophrynus biporcatus (Sunda ridge-headed toad). RNAcentral describes it as "partial 12S ribosomal RNA". It matches the Rfam family "Bacterial small subunit ribosomal RNA", at positions 794 to 1384 of the family's 1533-position model. The record is from RNAcentral. Lineage: Eukaryota; Metazoa; Chordata; Amphibia; Anura; Bufonidae.
GCCCAGCCGUAAACCUUUAUUUACAUCUUAAAUCGCCAGGGAACUACGAGCUAAGCUUAAAACCCAAAGGACUUGACGGUACCCCAUAUCCCCCUAGAGGAGCCUGUCCUAUAAUCGAUAAUCCACGUUUAACCUCACCAUUUUUAGUUAAUCAGCCUGUAUACCUCCGUCGUCAGCUUACCACGUGAGCGCCUAUUAGUGAGCUUAAUGUCCCCACCAAUACGUCAGGUCAAGGUGCAGCAAAUGAAAUGGGAAGAGAUGGGCUACACUUUCUAAAUUAGAAAAAACGAAAAACUACAUAUGAAACCUAGUUUGAAGGCGGAUUUAGCAGUAAAAAGGAAUCAGCAUGUCCAUUUUAACUCGGCACUGGGGUGUGU